Molecule: ribosomal RNA, 253 nt
Filed under: uncultured bacterium
Lineage: Bacteria
Description: partial 16S ribosomal RNA
Rfam family: Bacterial small subunit ribosomal RNA
Source: RNAcentral
UACGUAGGGACCAAGCGUUGUUCGGAUUUACUGGGCGUAAAGGGCGCGUAGGCGGCGCGGUAAGUCACUUGUGAAAUCUCUGAGCUUAACUCAGAACGGCCAAGUGAUACUGCAAUGCUCGAGUGUGGUAGGGGAGAGCGGAACUCCUGGUGGAGCGGUGAAAUGCGUAGAUAUCAGGAGGAACACCGGUGGCGAAGGCGGCUCUCUGGUCCACAACUGACGCUGAGGUGCGAAAGCGUGGGGAGCAAACAGG